RNAcentral lists this ribosomal RNA (360 nucleotides) under uncultured Streptococcus sp. Its description in RNAcentral is "bacterial SSU rRNA". It matches the Rfam family "Bacterial small subunit ribosomal RNA", at positions 1021 to 1382 of the family's 1533-position model. Lineage: Bacteria; Bacillati; Bacillota; Bacilli; Lactobacillales; Streptococcaceae. The record is from RNAcentral.
CGGUACAUCGGUGACAGGUGGUGCAUGGUUGUCGUCAGCUCGUGUCGUGAGAUGUUGGGUUAAGUCCCGCAACGAGCGCAACCCCUAUUGUUAGUUGCCAUCAUUCAGUUGGGCACUCUAGCGAGACUGCCGGUAAUAAACCGGAGGAAGGUGGGGAUGACGUCAAAUCAUCAUGCCCCUUAUGACCUGGGCUACACACGUGCCACAAUGGUUGGUACAACGAGUUGCGAGUCGGUGACGGCGAGCUAAUCUCUUAAAGCCAAUCUCAGUUCGGAUUGUAGGCUGCAACUCGCCUACAUGAAGUCGGGAUCGCUAGUAAUCGCGGAUCAGCACGCCGCGGUGAAUACGUUCCCGGGCCUU